Molecule: RNase P RNA, 389 nt
Filed under: Parvularculaceae bacterium
Lineage: Bacteria; Pseudomonadati; Pseudomonadota; Alphaproteobacteria; Parvularculales; Parvularculaceae
Description: RNase P RNA component class A
Rfam family: Bacterial RNase P class A
About the family: Ribonuclease P (RNase P) is a ubiquitous endoribonuclease, found in archaea, bacteria and eukarya as well as chloroplasts and mitochondria. Its best characterised activity is the generation of mature 5'-ends of tRNAs by cleaving the 5'-leader elements of precursor-tRNAs.
Source: RNAcentral
UCAGACGGCCGGACGGCUGCGGGCCCUUCCAUUGGAUCGGGGCUCGAGGAAAGUCCGGGCUCCAUGGAGACAAGGCGCCGGGUAACGCCCGGCCGGGCUUUUCAGCGAUGAAGGGCCUGAGGGAAAGCGCCGCAGAGAACGAACCGCCUUCUCCGGAAGGUAAGGGUGAAAAGGUGCGGUAAGAGCGCACCGCUCGUCCGGCGACGGAUGAGGCAUGGCAAGCCCCGCCUGGAGCAAUGCCGAAUAGGGACCGCGCGUCUUCGGACAAGGGCGUCUCCGCCCCGAGCGGUCCGGGUAGGCAGCUGGAGGCGAUGCGCAAGCAUCGUCCAAGAUGAAUAGUCGUCGCCUUUAACGAGGUACAGAACCCGGCUUACAGGCCGUCUGACGCA